GACAGAGGGUGCAAACGUUGUUCGGAAUUACUGGGCGUAAAGCGCGUGUAGGCUGCUCGGAAAGUCGGAUGUGAAAGCCCUGGGCUCAACCUAGGAAGUGCAUUCGAAACUUCCGAGCUGGAGUGCUGGAGAGGAAGGCGGAAUUCUCGGUGUAGAGGUGAAAUUCGUAGAUAUCGGGAGGAACACCAGUGGCGAAGGCGGCUCUCUGGACAGGUACUGACGCUGAGACGCGAAAGCGUGGGUAGCAAACAGG
RNAcentral lists this ribosomal RNA (253 nucleotides) under uncultured bacterium. Its description in RNAcentral is "partial 16S ribosomal RNA". It matches the Rfam family "Bacterial small subunit ribosomal RNA", at positions 524 to 776 of the family's 1533-position model. The record is from RNAcentral.